GUGCUCACUUUGGCAGUACAUAUAUUAAAAUUGGAAAAAUAACAGAGGUAACAUGUCCCCUUAGCAAGGAUGAUAUGUAAAUUCAUGAAGUUUUCUGUAAAUAA
Molecule: small nuclear RNA, 104 nt
Filed under: Mustela putorius furo (domestic ferret)
Lineage: Eukaryota; Metazoa; Chordata; Mammalia; Carnivora; Mustelidae
Source: RNAcentral